This 110-nucleotide non-coding RNA is filed under the name Burkholderiales bacterium. Its description in RNAcentral is "TPP sequence". It matches the Rfam family "TPP riboswitch aptamer (THI element)". Rfam says of the family: Vitamin B(1) in its active form thiamin pyrophosphate (TPP) is an essential coenzyme that is synthesised by coupling of pyrimidine and thiazole moieties in bacteria. The record is from RNAcentral. Lineage: Bacteria; Pseudomonadati; Pseudomonadota; Betaproteobacteria; Burkholderiales.
GCGCCUGCUCCGGGGUGCACGUAUUGGCGUGCUGAGAUGGCGGCCCGAGCCGCCAAAACCGCGAACUUGAUCUGGUUAGUACCAGCGUAAGAAGAGCUGCAGUCGGGACG